AUGACGGCCUUCGGGUUGUAAACUCCUUUCGCUAGGGACGAAGCUUUUGUGACGGUACCUAGAUAAGAAGCACCGGCUAACUACGUGCCAGCAGCCGCGGUAAUACGUAGGGUGCGAGCGUUGUCCGGAAUUACUGGGCGUAAAGGGCUCGUAGGUGGUUUGUCGCGUCGUCUGUGAAAUUCCGGGGCUUAACUCCGGGCGUGCAGGCGAUACGGGCAUAACUUGAGUACUGUAGGGGUAACUGGAAUUCCUGGUGUAGCGGUGAAAUGCGCAGAUAUCAGGAGGAACACCGAUGGCGAAGGCAGGUUACUGGGCAGUUACUGACGCUGAGGAGCGAAAGCAUGGGUAGCGAACAGGAUUAGAUACCCUGGUAGUCCAUGCCGUAAACGGUGGGCGCUAGGUGUGAGGGUCUUUUCACGACUUUCGUGCCGUAGCUAACGCAUUAAGCGCCCCGCCUGGGGAGUACGGCCGCAAGGCUAAAACUCAAAUGAAUUGACGGA
This 500-nucleotide ribosomal RNA is filed under the name uncultured bacterium. RNAcentral describes it as "bacterial SSU rRNA". It matches the Rfam family "Bacterial small subunit ribosomal RNA", at positions 408 to 917 of the family's 1533-position model. The record is from RNAcentral.